AUUGAACGCUGGCGGCAGGCCUAACACAUGCAAGUCGAACGAGUGGCGGACGGGUGAGUAAUGUCUCGGAAACUGCCUGAUGGAGGGGGAUAACUACUGGAAACGGUAUCUAAUACCGCAUACCAUCAGAUGUGCCCAUAUGGGAUUAGCUAGUUGGUGGGGUAAAGGCUCACCAAGGCGACGAUCCCUAGCUGGUAUGAGAGGAUGACCAGCCAGAAUAGCACUGAGACAAGGUCCAGACUCAUACGGGAGGCAGCGGUGGGGAAUCUUGCACAAUGGGCGAAAGCCUGAUGCAGCCAUGCCGGGUGUAUGAAGAAGGCCUUCGGGUUGGAAAGUACUUUCAGCGGGGAGGCGUUACCUGCAGAAGAAGCACCGGCUAACGCCGUGCCAGCAGCCGCGGUAAUAC
This 406-nucleotide ribosomal RNA is filed under the name uncultured bacterium. Its description in RNAcentral is "partial 16S ribosomal RNA". It matches the Rfam family "Bacterial small subunit ribosomal RNA", at positions 30 to 526 of the family's 1533-position model. The record is from RNAcentral.